GCCAGUCAUGGUGGUGCAUGCCUGUAGUCUUAGCUACUUGGGAGGCUGAGGUGGGAGGAUCACUUGAGCCCAGGAGUUCGAGGUUGCAGUGAGCUGUAAUUGUGCCACUGCACUCCAACCUGGGUGACAGAGUGAGAGCCCAUCUCUU
This 148-nucleotide small RNA is filed under the name Pongo abelii (Sumatran orangutan). RNAcentral's name for it is "Metazoan signal recognition particle RNA (ENSPPYG00000035867.1)". The record is from Rfam by way of RNAcentral. Lineage: Eukaryota; Metazoa; Chordata; Mammalia; Primates; Hominidae.